AUUGAACGCUGGCGGCAUGCCUUACACAUGCAAGUCGAACGGUAGAAGGAGCAAUCCUUCGAGAGUGGCGAACGGGUGAGUAAUACAUCGGAACGUACCUGGUAGUGGGGGAGUAGCCGGCCGAAAGACCGGAUUAAUACCGCAUAAGACCUGAGGGUGGAAAGACGGGGGACCGGUAAGGCCUCGCGCUACCGGAGCGGCCGAUGUCAGAUUAGCUAGUUGGUGGGGUAAAAGGACCUACCAAGGCGACGAUCUGUAGCUGGUCUGAGAGGACGACCAGCCACACUGGGACUGAGACACGGCCCA
Molecule: ribosomal RNA, 306 nt
Filed under: uncultured bacterium
Lineage: Bacteria
Description: bacterial SSU rRNA
Rfam family: Bacterial small subunit ribosomal RNA
Source: RNAcentral